Molecule: long non-coding RNA, 1194 nt
Filed under: Phascolarctos cinereus (koala)
Lineage: Eukaryota; Metazoa; Chordata; Mammalia; Diprotodontia; Phascolarctidae
Description: lncRNA (ENSPCIG00000034367.1)
Source: RNAcentral
AUGCCCCACCACCCUCAUUCUGUGCUCUCUGACCUCCCCCGCCACCCCCAUUCCGUGUUCUCAGACUACCACCCCCAUUCUGUGCUCUCUGACCUUCCCCGCCACCCCCAUUCCGUGUUCUCAGACUACCACUCCCAUUCUGUGCUCUCUGACCUCUCCCUCCACUCCCAUUCAGUGUUCACAGAGUACCACCCCCCUACUGGGCUCUCUGAGCUGCCCCGUCACCCUGAUUCAGUGUUCACGGACUACCACCCCCCUACUGGGCUCUCUGAGCUGCCACGCCACCCCGAUUCGGUAUUCACAGACUACCACCCCCCUACUGGGCUGUCGGAGCUCCCACGCCACCCCGAUUCGGUGUUCUCAGACUACCAGCCCCCAUCUGGGCUCUCUGAGCUACCGCGCCACCCCGAUUCGGUGUUCUCGGACUACCAGCCCCCAUCUGGGCUCUCUGAGCUACCACGCCACCCCGAUUCGGUGUUCUCGGACUACCAGCCCCCAUCUGGGCUCUCGGAGCUACCGCGCCACCCCGAUUCGGUGUUCUCGGACUACCAGCCCCCGUCUGGGCUCUCGGAGCUCCCGCGCCACCCCGAUUCGGUGUUCUCGGACUACCAGCCCCCGUCUGGGCUCUCGGAGCUCCCGCGCCACCCCGAUUCAGUGUUCUCGGACUACCAGCCCCCGUCUGGGCUCUCGGAGCUCCCGCGCCACCCCGAUUCGGUGUUCUCGGACUACCAGCCCCCGUCUGGGCUCUCGGAGCUCCCACGACACCCUGAUUCAGUGUUCUCAGACUACUACUCCCAGUCUGUGUUCUCUGACUACCACUCCCAUUCUGUGCUCUCCGACCUCUCCCACCACCCCCAUUCUUUGUUCUCCGAUGUCUCUGAUUAUUCCCAUUUUGUACUCUCUGACCACCAUGACCCCCAUUCUGUGCUCUCUGACCUUUCUAAUUAUCCCCAUUUUGUGCUCGCUGACCACCCUCACUACCCCUAUUCUGUGCUCUCUGACCUCUCCCACUACCCCCACUCCGUGCUCUCUGACCUCUCUCACUAUUCCAGUUCUGCGUUCUCCGACCUCCCCCAGCCUCAUUUUGUGAUCCCUGCCUUCCUAUACCACCCUCAUUUCGUGUUCUCUGACACCCACCCCCACUGCCAAUUUGUGCUCUCUGACAUCUAUCCCUACUGCUAUUUUGUGCUCUGA